GACGAACGCUGGCGGCGUGCUUAACACAUGCAAGUCGAACGGAAAGGCCCUGCUUUUGUGGGGUGCUCGAGUGGCGAACGGGUGAGUAACACGUGAGUAACCUGCCCUUGACUUUGGGAUAACUUCAGGAAACUGGGGCUAAUACCGGAUAGGAGCUCCUGCUGCAUGUUGGGGGUUGGAAAGUUUCGGCGGUUGGGGAUGGACUCGCGGCUUAUCCGCUUGUUGGUGGGGUAGUGGCUUACCAAGGCUUUGACGGGUAGCCGGCCUGAGAGGGUGAACGGGGACAUGGGGACUGAGGUACGGAGCAGACGGGUACGGGAGGCAGCAGGGGAGAACAUGGCGCAAUGAGCGGGAGCGAGAUGCAACGACGUCGCGUGCGGGAUGACGGCCUUCGGGGGGUGAACCGCUGUCGCAGGUGACGAGGCGGGAGUGACGGUAAUGGGUAAAAAAGCACCGGCUAACUACGUG
This 468-nucleotide ribosomal RNA is filed under the name uncultured bacterium. Its description in RNAcentral is "partial 16S ribosomal RNA". It matches the Rfam family "Bacterial small subunit ribosomal RNA", at positions 28 to 507 of the family's 1533-position model. The record is from RNAcentral.